RNAcentral lists this small nuclear RNA (107 nucleotides) under Catagonus wagneri (Chacoan peccary). The record is from RNAcentral. Lineage: Eukaryota; Metazoa; Chordata; Mammalia; Artiodactyla; Tayassuidae.
GUUCUUGUUUCGGCAGCACACAUACUAAAAUUGGAACAAUACAGGGAAGAUGAGUAGGGCCCCUGUGCAAGAAUGACAUGCAAAUUCGUGAAGCGUUCCGUAUUUUU